This 238-nucleotide unclassified non-coding RNA is filed under the name Glomus sp. RNAcentral describes it as "partial contains 5.8S ribosomal RNA and internal transcribed spacer 2". The stretch from base 1 to 65 matches the Rfam family "5.8S ribosomal RNA", at positions 84 to 154 of the family's 154-position model. The record is from RNAcentral. Lineage: Eukaryota; Fungi; Glomeromycota; Glomeromycetes; Glomerales; Glomeraceae.
GUGAAUCAUCAAAUUUUUGAACGCAGAUUGCACUCCCUUCGGAGAGUAUGCCUGUUUGAGGGUCAGCCUAUAAAAAAUCGACAUAGUCGCUGUUUUCGGGGGGAGAUCGUUCGGAAAUGGGGUCAUCUUAAACCUUUUGGUUUUAAGCGGCUUAAAAUUUUUUUUAUUGAUUCCAUGAACGUUUCUAAGAUUUAUUUCUUUACAAGUUUAAAGUAUCGGUUCUUUUUAAGCGUGACCC